UGGUGGAGUGAUUUGUCUGGUUAAUUCCGUUAACGAACGAGACCUCGACCUGCUAAAUAGUGCACUUGAUGUUUACAUCGGGGUUGGCUUACUUCUUAGAGGGACUUUGUGUUUCUGCAGUGCAAGGAAGUUCGAGGCAAUAACA
RNAcentral lists this ribosomal RNA (145 nucleotides) under uncultured eukaryote. Its description in RNAcentral is "partial 18S ribosomal RNA". It matches the Rfam family "Eukaryotic small subunit ribosomal RNA", at positions 1299 to 1458 of the family's 1831-position model. The record is from RNAcentral.